CAGUAGCCGCGGGAAAACGGAGGGUGCAAGCGUUAAUCGGAAUUACUGGGCGUAAAGCGCACGCAGGCGGUCUGACAAGUCAGAUGUGAAAUCCCCGGGCUUAACCUGGGAACUGCAUUUGAAACUGUCAGGCUGGAGUCUUGUAGAGGGGGGUGGAAUUCCAGGUGUAGCGGUGAAAUGCGUAGAGAUCUGGAGGAAUACCGGUGGCGAAGGCGGCCCCCUGGACAAAGACUGACGCUCAGGUGCGAAAGCGUGGGGAGCAAACAGGAUUAGAUACCCGAGUAGUCCCUGUCUCUUAUAA
RNAcentral lists this ribosomal RNA (301 nucleotides) under uncultured bacterium. RNAcentral's name for it is "partial 16S ribosomal RNA". It matches the Rfam family "Bacterial small subunit ribosomal RNA", at positions 509 to 809 of the family's 1533-position model. The record is from RNAcentral.